GUCGAACGGGGAUAUAUUGGAAUGAGGAUUCGUCUGAAGGAAAAUGUAUCUUAGUGGCGGACGGGUGAGUAACGCGUGGGCAACCUACCGUAUACAGGGGGAUAACACUUAGAAAUAGGUGCUAAUACCGCAUAAGCGCACAGCAGUGCAUACUGGAGUGUGAAAAGCCGAGACGGUAUACGAUGGGCCCGCGUCUGAUUAGCCAGUUGGCAGGGUAACGGCCUACCAAAGCGACGAUCAGUAGCCGGCCUGAGAGGGCGGACGGCCACAUUGGGACUGAGACACGGCCCAGACUCCUACGGGAGGCAGCAGUGGGGGAUAUUGCACAAUGGGGGGAACCCUGAUGCAGCGACGCCGCGUGAGUGAAGAAGUAAUUCGUUAUGUAAAGCUCUAUCAGCAGGGAAGAAUAAAUGACGGUACCUGAGUAAGAAGCCCCGGCUAACUACGUGCCAGCAGCCGCGGUAAUACGUAGGGGGCAAGCGUUAUCCGGAUUUACUGGGUGUAAAGGGAGCGUAGACGGCGAUGCAAGCCAGAUGUGAAAGCCCGCGGCUCAACUGCGGUAGUGCAUUUGGAACUGUAUGGCUGGAGUGCAGGAGAGGCAGGCGGAAUUCCUAGUGUAGCGGUGAAAGGGGUAGAUCUUAGGAGAAAUACCAGUGGCGAAGGCGGCCUGCUGGACUGUAACUGACGUUGAGGCUCGAA
Molecule: ribosomal RNA, 699 nt
Filed under: uncultured bacterium
Lineage: Bacteria
Description: bacterial SSU rRNA
Rfam family: Bacterial small subunit ribosomal RNA
Source: RNAcentral